This is a long non-coding RNA of Musa acuminata AAA Group (dessert banana), 1104 nucleotides long. RefSeq lists it as uncharacterized. NCBI's taxonomy places the organism in Eukaryota, Viridiplantae, Streptophyta, Magnoliopsida, Zingiberales, Musaceae. The record is from RefSeq and is a predicted model, not a curated record. The transcript has 3 exons.
GUAAGAAUCUUAACCUUGUUUAUAUGUAUAUAUUCGUGCAUUAUUAUUAUAUGAUCAAGUUGAUGUGAUCGAUGAGGACUCGGAUAUAUAGGCACAGCGGAGAAUGUGAGAUUGUUCAUUUUGGCUUCUGUGCUUGUAGUCAUCCAUCAGUUUCAGCAUGACAGCUUGGUUCUUCUUGAUGUAAUAGAAUGUUCAGCUUUAUUUUCUGAUACCAUUUCAUGCUGGAUUCCAAAGGCAUCAAGAAUGCCAGUCUGACGCAAUUUAUUCUCCUGCCGUGGAAACAUUCUUGUAUCAAGUGCCUGAAUAACGAGGUUGUUCCUGGAGUAUUGUCCUCCUGAACUUGGAACUUGCUCUUUCCAGCGAGGAACUUGUUUGAUGCCCCCGAGUCAUCAACUUGUCCAGAACACGUCUUCUUUCAUUUCUUUCAGUGAAAUGUUGGUGCUUUUUGCUCUUUUCGCUGACCCCUUGUAUCCUUCGUCUUCAGGGACUGCUAAAGACCAAGCAGCGAAUGACCUCAAUAGUUGCAAGAAUGUUCGUGAAAAUGACUCCUGAUGGUCCUGGUGAGAUUUGAGACAAAGGUCUGGCUUCGAUCACAAUCUUUUCUUGCAGGUCUAACAGGACACAGAUCCGGGCUUGUAUUCGUCACUGUAUCCCAGAGAAGAAAACCAAGAUUCCGGAGGGAGUCAUCAGCAUUUCUUUGCAGCAGCAGUCUUCAGAGUGGUUGGGAUGCAGACUUCGAUGACAAAUGGCCUUCUUAACCACACACUCUCCCUGCCAAAGCAGAAUAAUGAAGCAGGAAACAAAGGAUCCAAUUAUCCUGAAACAUUUAUUUCAGGAAUGCAACAAAUCGACAUAUGAUGGAGGGAAGAAAUGAAUCAUUAACGUUGGAGAAAUCAGUGCCACCACAUCUACGAUUGGCUUGCAAACUUGGUACUAUCUCUCUCUCUCUCUCUCUCUCUCUUACCUUUGAUGGCAGAUCAAAAGUACCUCUAUACUAGAGUGUAUGUUAAGAGUUUCUGAAAGUACAGAUAUUAAUCCGAAGAAAAGGAACCAUUUGAUUGUUGUUUCCAUGUAUAAUAUAUUUCUCUCACAUAUUGUUAUUUC